GAAUCUUUUGCCGAUGGGAAGUGUCUCGACAAUGUAUUCAUGCAGUGUUUCAUCCAAUGUGUUAUUGAUGAUGCAAAAAAUCAGCAGACUUCCAUGAGUUCGAACAGUUUGAUUCUUGAUGUUAAUGUUGGGUCACUACUCAACUUUGAGGAACAGGAACGACACAGUCGCAACCCUCAACCUUUUGAUGAAUCUGUACUCCACACACUUCUAGACAAUUCAUUGCCUGAGACAGAUGAAUUGGACCAAUGCAAAGCGAUCAUGGUCCCCAUGGUAAGCAGGGGGCAUUGGACAUUGUAUGUUGUCAA
This is a long non-coding RNA of Zea mays, 308 nucleotides long. RefSeq lists it as uncharacterized. The record is from RefSeq and is a predicted model, not a curated record. Lineage: Eukaryota; Viridiplantae; Streptophyta; Magnoliopsida; Poales; Poaceae. The transcript is spliced from 3 exons.